UGCAAAAGGGAAGAAGUCAAGUGACUGGAAACUUCUGCUCCUCCUGCCUCUGAGAACCAGCUUUAACCUGAACUGGGUUAAAAUUUUGGUGGAAAGGACAAAUGUGGGACUGGUUGUAAACCUGUGAAGUCUUCUGGGUGCAAAAUGAAUCAUAACUGGAUUUAAGAGGAAAGAAUUACUGAUCAGCGCUGGAGAAGGUGCACCUGUUACAGCUCUGUUGAGAAAAGCCAGGGAAAUGCAGUAGAACUAAUCUGCCUGGACUGCAGCAAUAUGCUGGGCUCAGAGCUGUGCAGGACAAGAGCAGGGAGGUCAUCAGCUGGAAAUGAGAGGGAAAGGAAAGGCUUGUCUGUCUUAAUUGCAGGAUCACUAUAAGCCAACAAUAAGGUGUGCCUAGAAUAAUACAAAUGCAAUC
Oxyura jamaicensis (ruddy duck) is the source of this 412-nucleotide long non-coding RNA. RefSeq lists it as uncharacterized. The transcript is spliced from 4 exons. NCBI's taxonomy places the organism in Eukaryota, Metazoa, Chordata, Aves, Anseriformes, Anatidae. The record is from RefSeq and is a predicted model, not a curated record.